Molecule: long non-coding RNA, 307 nt
Organism: Gadus morhua (Atlantic cod)
Lineage: Eukaryota; Metazoa; Chordata; Actinopteri; Gadiformes; Gadidae
Exons: 3
Source: RefSeq, a predicted model, not a curated record
CCGUAAGUAAAUCAUGCAUUUUAAUUCAUUACAGAUUGAGAAGUGUCCCAUGAUGCUGCGUGGGCAGACCUCAAUCUUGAGGGUAGCGCAGACAUGUUCCUGUGGCUUUCACCCUCGGCAGUCUGUGAGUAGUCCUGCAGCAUCCAGGCCAGCUACCUCAGCCUCCACUUCAGCUGCCUCAGCGGCGCCUGUACAGAGCCCUGGGAGGCCUGCAUUGACGCUGUCAAUGUUUGAUAAAGCGCGGUUCGGCGGGACUUUGUCUGCGGCAGCCAGGCCUAAUGUCAACGUGACCAGGAAGCAUGUCGAG